Molecule: ribosomal RNA, 301 nt
Filed under: uncultured bacterium
Lineage: Bacteria
Description: partial 16S ribosomal RNA
Rfam family: Bacterial small subunit ribosomal RNA
Source: RNAcentral
CAGUCGCCGCGGUAAUACGAAGGGUGCAAGCGUUAAUCGGAAUUACUGGGCGUAAAGCGUGCGUAGGCGGUUUGUUAAGUCUGCUGUGAAAUCCCCGGGCUCAACCUGGGAAUGGCAGUGGAUACUGGCUCGCUAGAGUGUGUCAGAGGAUGGUGGAAUUCCCGGUGUAGCGGUGAAAUGCGUAGAGAUCGGGAGGAACAUCAGUGGCGAAGGCGGCCAUCUGGGACAACACUGACGCUGAGGCACGAAAGCGUGGGGAGCAAACAGGAUUAGAUACCCCUGUAGUCCCUGUCUCUUAUAC